GAGAGAAGGGAUGACACAGUAGGAUAAGCUAAGCACACUGUUGGUUAUGUGUGCCCAAGCAUUGAGGCAGUCAAAGUAGGCAAAUCCGCUUUGAUAAUGCUGGGGUGUGAUGGGGAGCGAAAUUUAGUAGCGAAGUAGCUGAUUUCACACUGUCAAGAAAAGUCUCUAUCGAGGUUAAAGGUACCCGUACCGCAAACCGACACAGGUGGGUGAGGAGAGUAUCCUAAGGCCAGCGAGAGAACUGUUGUUAAGGAACUCGGCAAAAUGACCCCGUAACUUAGGGAUAAGGGGUGCCACCAUCAGGUGGCCGCAGAGAAUAGGCCCAAGCGACUGUUUACCAAAAACAUAGGUUUCUGCUAAGUCGCAAGACGAUGUAUAGGAGCUGACGCCUGCCCGGUGCUGGAAGGUUAAGGGGAUCUGUUAGAGCAAUCGAAGCAGUGAACUUAAGCCCCAGUAAACGGCGGCCGUAACUAUAACGGUCCUAAGGUAGCGAAAUUCCUUGUCGGGUAAGUUCCGACCCGCACGAAAGGCGUAACGAUUUGGGCACUGUCUCAACAACAGACUCGGUGAAAUUGUAAUUCCGGUGAAGAUGCCGGAUACCUG
RNAcentral lists this ribosomal RNA (603 nucleotides) under Clostridioides difficile. RNAcentral describes it as "bacterial LSU rRNA". It matches the Rfam family "Bacterial large subunit ribosomal RNA", at positions 1459 to 2072 of the family's 2925-position model. Lineage: Bacteria; Bacillati; Bacillota; Clostridia; Peptostreptococcales; Peptostreptococcaceae. The record is from RNAcentral.